GUAGUCAUAUGCUUGUCUCAAAGAUUAAGCCAUGCAUGUCUAAGUAUAAGCACUCUUUUACUGUGAAACUGCGAAUGGCUCAUUAAAUCAGUUAUCGUUUAUUUGAUAGUACCCUACUACAUGGAUACCUGUGGUAAUUCUAGAGCUAAUACAUGCGCAAAACCCCGACCUCGGAAGGGGUGUAUUUAUUAGAUAAAAAACCAAUGCCCUUCGGGGCUCCUUGGUGAUUCGUAAUAACUUCACGAAUCGCAUGGCCUUGCGCCGGCGAUGGUUCAUUCAAAUUUCUGCCCUAUCAACUUUCGAUGGUAGGAUAGUGGCCUACCAUGGUGGCAACGGGUAACGGGGAAUG
This 349-nucleotide ribosomal RNA is filed under the name uncultured fungus. RNAcentral's name for it is "SSU rRNA". It matches the Rfam family "Eukaryotic small subunit ribosomal RNA", at positions 20 to 371 of the family's 1831-position model. Lineage: Eukaryota; Fungi. The record is from RNAcentral.